UACGGGGUGCAGCAGGCGCGAAAACUUGACAAUGCGAGAAAUCGUGAUCAGGGGACUCCAGUUGGCUGGACCAAAAGUCCAGUCUGAACCGACUUUAAAUCGGUCGGGUUAAUAGGGGCGGGAAAGACCGGUGCCAGCCGCCGCGGUAAUACCGGCGCCCCAAGUGGUCGUCACUAUUAUUGGGCCUAAAACGUCCGUAGCCGGUUUGGUAAAUCCGUGGGUAAAUCAGACAGCCUAACUGUCAGAAUUCUGCGGGGACUGCCAAACUUGAGACCGGGAGAGGUACGGGGUACCUGCGGGGUAGCGGUAAAAUGCGAUCAUCCCGUAGGGACCACCUGUUGCGAAGGCGCCGUACUAGAACGGAUCUGACGGUCAGGGACGAAGCCUAGGGGCACGAACCGGAUUAGAUACCCGGGUAGUCCUAGGUGUAAACGCUGUGGACUUGGUGUCGGGGACUUUCAGAGAGUCUCCGGUGCCGGAGUGAAGAUGUUAAGUCCACUGCCUGGGGAGUACGGUCGCAAGGCUGAAACUUAAAGGAAUUGGCGGGGGAGCAC
RNAcentral lists this ribosomal RNA (554 nucleotides) under uncultured euryarchaeote. Its description in RNAcentral is "bacterial SSU rRNA". It matches the Rfam family "Archaeal small subunit ribosomal RNA", at positions 324 to 879 of the family's 1478-position model. The record is from RNAcentral. Lineage: Archaea; Methanobacteriati; Methanobacteriota.